UCUAAGCCCUCAAUGGCAAGUGACAUUUUCUUUUAUUAACUUGGAAGAUAUCCAUAGUCAGACACAGCAUCCACAUCCCUCACAUCCAUGCCUGCCUUCCCUGUGUCUUCCCUGGACUCCUGCAUCUGUAGUUAAGCUCAGGUCACGUGACUCCCUCACACUCGUGCUUCCUUUUGCCCUUUAGAGUACUCGCCACAUCACGUGAUAAUACUGCAUCAUGUGGCAAUACCGUUAUGCCCUGGAUUUGUUAAACAUUGUCAUGUCCCAGUUGACAAGCUGUUGGUAGUUGAUGGCUGCUGAUAGAAGGAGAAUCAUCUUUCUUGAGGAGUAUGGCCGAGGUCUGUGACCAGCAUCUAGCCCUUGCUUCUGAACUCACUACAUUUCACACCAGUGCCACGGCAGCUACGGUGAUUGUGUGUGGAGCCAUACGGAGUCUGAGCAAGCACCAUGGAGCCAGGUGGCUCCACAGCCUUCUGUGCACAGACCCUGCCAGAAGAGAGUUGGUCUCCCAGAAGUACGGACACAGGCUUACUGGCCCAUAGAAGGGACAAGCUCCAGCCAGGGACAGCAAGACCAGCUAACACCAUAGAUAGCCAGAUGGUACAAGGCAAGCAAAAGGUAAGUGCAAGAACCCUACCAACAGAAACCAAGGCCACAUGGUAACAUCAGAACCCAGUUCUCCCACCACAGCAAGACCUGGAUACCCCAACACACUGGAUUGUUGCUGGAUCCAAAGCAAGAGUUGGAUUUAAAAUCUCAUCUCAUAAUGCUGAUAGAGGACUUCAAGAAGGACAUAAAUAACUCCCUUAAAGAAAUACAGGAGAACAUGUUAAACAGGUAAAAGCCCUUAAAGAGGAAAGACAAAAAUUCCUUAAAGAGAUACAGGACAACAUGGGUCAACAGGCAGAAGCCCUUAAAAAGGAAAUACAAAAAUCCCUUAAAGAAUUACAGGAAAACAAAAACAAACAAGUGAAGGAACUGAACAAAACCAUCCAGGAUCUAAAAAUGGAAGUAGAAAUAAUGAAGAAAUCACAAAGGGAGACAAUUCUAGAUAUUGGAAACCUUGGAAAGAAAUCAGGAGUCCUAGAUGUAAGCAUCAACAACAGAAUAAAGGAAUCCAAGAAAGAAUCUCAGGUUCUGAAGAUACCAUAGAAAACCUUGACUCAACAGUUAAGAAAAUGCAAAAUGUAAAAAGCUUGUAACACAAAACAUUCAGGAAAUUCAGGGCACAAUGAGAAGACCAAACUUAAGGAUUAUAGGUAUAGAAGAGAGCAAAGAUUUCCAACUUAAAGGGCCAGUAAAUAUCUUCAACAAAAUUAUAGAAUAAAACUUCCCUAACCUAAAGAAAGAGAUGCCCAUGAACAUACAAGAAACCUAUACAACACCAAACAGACUGGACCAGAACAGAAAGUCCUUCCGGCACAUAAUAAUCAAAACACCAAAUGAACAAAACAAUGAAAGAAUAUUAAAAGCAGUAAGGGAAAAAGGUCAAGUAACUUAUAAAGGCAAGCCUAUCAGAAUUACACCAGACGUCUCACCAGAGAUGGUGAAAGCAAGAAGAUCCUGGGCAGACUUCAUACAGACCCUAAGAGAACACAAAUGCCAGCCCAGGGUACUAUACCCAGCAAAACUCUCAAUCAUCAUGAUGGAGAAACGAAGAUAUUCCAUGAUAAAACCAAAUUUACACAAUAUCUGUCCACAAAUCCAGCCCUACAAAGGCUUAAUAGAUAGAAAAUGCCAACACAAGGAGGGAAACUACACCCUAGAAGAAAGUAAUCUUCUUCCAACAAACCCAAAAGAAAAUACCCACACAAACAUAAAAAUAACAUCAAAAACAACAGGAAUCAGCAAUCACUAUUCCUUAAUAUCUCUUAAGAACAAUGGACUCAACUCCCCAAUAAAA
Molecule: long non-coding RNA, 1903 nt
Organism: Apodemus sylvaticus (European woodmouse)
Lineage: Eukaryota; Metazoa; Chordata; Mammalia; Rodentia; Muridae
Exons: 3
Source: RefSeq, a predicted model, not a curated record